AGAGACAUUUGGGAAUUUUGAAAAAGCAUAAACCCUCCUCUCCGCCAUUGCUGCUCUUCCUCCCUGCUUCAGCCGAGCUCUCAAUGGGCGACCGCGACAGAGCUCGCGACCGAGACCGCGACCGCGACCGCGACGCUUACAGAGAGCGGGACCGGGAAUGGGACCGAGACCGUGACCGGGAGAGAAGACGUGACAAGGAAUCUGACCGUGACCGGGAGCGCGACCGGGACCGGGAACGCGACAGGGACCGAGAGCGGCGGAGCAAGCGUUCUCGCACUCCAGACGACCCGAGAUCCCGCCACGCCCGGUCCAGGACUCGGUCCCCCGACGACAGGUCCCACCGGCGGCACCGGCACAAGGACAGUCCAUCGCCCUCACCGGCGAGGAAGCGGCACCGGCGGGACUCCCCGGAGCGGGAGGACAGGGACCGGGAUAGGGAGAGGCAGAAGGUGGUCUCGGACUUCGUGGAUGGAAUCGCUAAGGAGCAUAACAGCAAGAAGGAGAAGGGUAAGGACGGCGGCGCUGGUGGAGGGGUGGGAGAGGAAGGGAUGGAGGACGAUGAGAUCGAGAUGAUGAAGAAGCUAGGGAUUCCAGUCGGUUUUGAUUCAACCAAGGGGAAGCCCGUCCCGGGGGCUGACGUAGGUGGCGUCAGGCCCGUGACGAAGCGGCAGCCCCGCCAGUACAUGAACAGGAGAGGAGGGUUUAACAGGCCUUUGCCGGCGGAGCGGAACCGGUAGCAACCAUUUUGAGGGAUAAUGGAUAAGAUCAGUUACUUUAGAUGGUGAUGUGACUCGGGAUGUUUGAUAGUUAGAUUGACUUCGAUGCACAACCUAAUCUUUAGAUCUUGUGGGGGCAAACUAUUGGCUUAGGUGGUGAGUGCUCGCGGAAACUACAACCUUUACACUGGCAUUCAACUAUCGGAGCCUCAAGAAUGUGGAGUUGCACAUUGCGAAUACAAUGUCUAGUGCCUGCAGGAUGCACAGGAGCCUGUGAUUUGUCUCGAAAGGAUCAUAAAGCAUGAACAAUGGUAUGUUGCGUGAAGUUCCAUAGCCUAACGCUAUUCUUAUCAAGCAACUAAUGGGUUGUCUCACGUAGCGAUCCUUGAGCAUUGUUCUGUGGUAAUUCGGGAUGCCUUGGAUAGGUGAGAUGUAGUAGUAGACUUGCAUAUUCUUCUGGGUUGAACACAUAAUGUGGACCAGAUCUGAUGGUGCAUAUUAUUUUUAACACAUAUGAAAAAGUUAUCUUAUCGGCAUAA
Molecule: non-coding RNA, 1255 nt
Organism: Punica granatum (pomegranate)
Lineage: Eukaryota; Viridiplantae; Streptophyta; Magnoliopsida; Myrtales; Lythraceae
Source: RefSeq, a predicted model, not a curated record